GAUGAACGCUGGCGGCGUGCCUAACACAUUCAAGUCGAACGGACUUUGGUUGGAAGCUUGCUUCCGACCCAAGUUAGUGGCGGACGGGUGAGUAACGCGUGAGCAACCUGCCCCUGUGAGUGGAAUAACGUCCGGAAACAGACGCUAAUACCGCAUAACACACCGAGAUCGCAUGUUUUUGGUGUCAAAGAUUUAUCGCACAGGGAUGGGCUCGCGUUGGAUUAGUUAGUUGGUGAGGUAACGGCUCACCAAGACCGCGAUCCAUAGCCGGACUGAGAGGUUGAACGGCCACAUUGGAACUGAGACACGGCCCAGACUCCUACGGAGGCAGCAGUGGGGGAUAUUGCACAAUGGGCGAAAGCCUGAUGCAGCGACGCCGCGUGAGGGAAGACGGUUUUCGGAUUGUAAAACCUCUGUCUUCGGGGACGAAAAUGACGGUACCCGAGGAGGAAGCCAACGGCUAACUACGUG
RNAcentral lists this ribosomal RNA (471 nucleotides) under uncultured bacterium. Its description in RNAcentral is "bacterial SSU rRNA". It matches the Rfam family "Bacterial small subunit ribosomal RNA", at positions 28 to 507 of the family's 1533-position model. The record is from RNAcentral.